GCGAGGAUAGUUCCGUAAUAUCAGUCUCAUGGAUAAUGUAUAGCUUUGAAUGGACAGUAGUAAAAUAGCUUUCAAACUUAAAAAUGUUUUAUCUUCUAGUUUUUUCAUUGAUCAACAUUUGUAACUGAGAAGAAAUGUCUAUUGUAAUUCUACAUCCAUCAAAUAAAACCCUAGUUUUCUCUCAAUAUCUUCUUCCUACUGCAGGAUUUAUUUCAUCAAGAACGCACAAUUGGGUGGUAAAAUUAUCAAAGAAAUCUUCACUUCCAGGUUUCUACAACAGGAUUUGCUCCUCCAAAUCCCCGAAUACAUCCACUGACAGUAGCUCCCAAGAGGAUUCAAAGAGGUUCCCUUGGAAAGUUCAUCUUGAAGAAUGGAAUGUUCCAUGGGAUUGGAAGAUUGUUUUGUAUGUCAUGGCACCAUAUUUGAUGAGGUAU
Molecule: long non-coding RNA, 434 nt
Organism: Papaver somniferum (opium poppy)
Lineage: Eukaryota; Viridiplantae; Streptophyta; Magnoliopsida; Ranunculales; Papaveraceae
Exons: 2
Source: RefSeq, a predicted model, not a curated record